This is a long non-coding RNA of Magnolia sinica, 1557 nucleotides long. RefSeq lists it as uncharacterized. Lineage: Eukaryota; Viridiplantae; Streptophyta; Magnoliopsida; Magnoliales; Magnoliaceae. The transcript has 4 exons. The record is from RefSeq and is a predicted model, not a curated record.
CUCUCUCUCCCUGUCCACUCCCUCAAGCUCUCCCUCUCCGCUCGCUCUACCUCUCGCUCCGCACCAACCUCCCUCAACAGGUCACGAGCUUCUUGGAUUUCCCUUUCACAGCCGUACGGAACGAAGAUUCCAGAACGUUACCACGCCACGAAGAGGUCCUGGCUUACAUCGAGGACUUCACGGCUGAGUUCGAACUUCUUGAGCUGAUCCGGUUCGGCGCGGAGGUCGUCCGAGUCAUUCCGAAGGCAAUUAUGUCCUGAGUGAUUUUGGUUCCUGAUAACAAUUUUAGGUUCCGAAAGCAAUUUUGGAUCUCAGGAGCAAUUACGAGUCUUGGAAGUGAUUGAGGUGAUUUCGGGUCUCAAUAACAAUUGCAACUCUUGAGAGCGAUUUUGGGUCCAAGGAGCGAUUAAGGUGUGAUUCCAGCAGAGGAAUCUACAAACAGGUGCUACUUUGUCUCGUCUUGGGUGCAAUUGUCCCUCAUCCAUGGCUAUUUACCCUCCCUUGACCUUUGGAGAUCCCUUGGCUGUCUAACAUGGGAAGUUAGCUUGCUGCCCCAUUGCUAAUGAUAGUACUCGUUGUCAGCAAUUUGAGUAUAGACUGUUGAACUAUUUCUUUUCAUUUUCUUUUUGAAAGAUGAAGAUGGAUUCUUAAUGGAUAAGCUCACUUGUGUAUUGCCAUUGCCUUGUAUGUUUAACUGCUGAUUUAUAUUUAUUAUGGAUUUCAUUACAAUACUCCUGCUAGGCUGUUGUUGGGAUUUCAUUGCAGUACUCUUGCUGGUGUGAUCAGUAAGAGCAGUGGGGAUGAGGAUAAAUGCCUUGAAGGUCAACUACGUGAUGCCAAGGCUGCUGCUGGGAAAGUUGAGACAAUUGGGAAAAAAAAAAAAAAAAAGAAGAAGAAAGAUUCAAGUCAUUUAGCUUUCAUUGGAGUUGGUUGAAUUGGCUGCUUCAAAUGAUGCAUUGGAAACAUCCUGAAAGCAUCCAUUCAAUGCUAUCCAUUCCAUGAGCUUGCUGCGGCUUAGUUUUCAGCAAUGGAAUACUGAAUAUGAGUAUGCUGACAGUCAAUUGCGAUCUUGUGCUUUGAUUCAGGUGCAUGGUUUUAUAUAUUGUCUGAGUUGUAUCUAUUUUGAUCCGAAACGAAGAGUCACCACACCGAUAUAGGACCAAGCUUGACAAAUCAGGUUGAACAAUACCAUUUGUGUUCCCCAGGCAAUUCACACUCCGAAACCACUACUCAAAUCCAUGUUCAGGGAAGGAGCGGACAUUCGAGGCUAUUUUUUGUGGUCUUACAUUGACAACUUCGAGUGGGACAGUGGCUAUUCGUUUCGCCUUGGCCUUUACUAUGUGAAUUACACUAAUAAUGAUCUGCGAUGGUUCCCAAGAGCAUCUGCAACUUGGUUUAGAGAAGAUAUGAAUACAGAUUUGAUGAGUGCGGCCCAGAAAUCAGCAUAUUGAAGUAGGUCAUCUUCUUCAAUAACAUUCAUCUGAUGGGCCAUUUUUGAUACAGAAGCACUUGUAUUCUACUUGGCAGGGCAGGAGACCACGUCACCUUUUCUUUUCU